AGUGAACGCUGGCGGUAGGCCUAACACAUGCAAGUCGAACGGCAGCACCGUAAGAGCUUGCUCUUACGGGUGGCGAGUGGCGGACGGGUGCGGAAUACAUCGGAAUCUACUUUUUCGUGGGGGAUAACGUAGGGAAACUUACGCUAAUACCGCAUACGACCUACGGGUGAAAGCAGGGGAUCUUCGGACCUUGCGCGAUUGUAUGAGCCGAUGUCGGAUUAGCUAGUUGGCGGGGUAAAGGCCCACCAAGGCGACGAUCCGUAGCUGGUCUGAGAGGAUGAUCAGCCACACUGGAACUGAGACACGGUCCAGACUCCUACGGGAGGCAGCAGUGGGGAAUAUUGGACAAUGGGCGCAAGCCUGAUCCAGCCAUACCGCGUGGGUGAAGAAGGCCUUCGGGUUGUAAAGCCCUGUUGUUGGGAAAGAAAAGCAGCAGGUUAAUACCCCGCGGUUCUGACGGUACCCAAAGAAUAAGCACCGGCUAACUUCGUG
RNAcentral lists this ribosomal RNA (492 nucleotides) under uncultured bacterium. RNAcentral's name for it is "partial 16S ribosomal RNA". It matches the Rfam family "Bacterial small subunit ribosomal RNA", at positions 29 to 507 of the family's 1533-position model. The record is from RNAcentral.